This 422-nucleotide ribosomal RNA is filed under the name uncultured archaeon. Its description in RNAcentral is "bacterial SSU rRNA". It matches the Rfam family "Archaeal small subunit ribosomal RNA", at positions 458 to 880 of the family's 1478-position model. The record is from RNAcentral.
UCAGCCGCCGCGGUAAAACCAGCACCUCGAGUGGUCAGGAGGUCUAUUGGGCCUAAAGCAUCCGUAGCCGGUUGUUUAAGUUUUCGGUUAAAUCUAUGCGCUUAACGUAUAGGCUGCCGAAAAUACUGGACAGCUAGGGAGCGGGAGAGGUAAACGGUACUCAAUAGGAAGGGGUAAAAUCCUUUGAUCUGUUGAUGACCACCUGUGGCGAAGGCGGUGUACCGGAACACGUUCGACGGUGAGGGAUGAAAGCUGGGGGAGCAAACCGGAUUAGAUACCCGGGUAGUCCCAGCUGUAAACGAUGCAAACUCGGUGAUGCAUUGGCUUGUGGCCAAUGCAGUGCCGCAGGGAAGCCGUUAAGUUUGCCGCCUGGGAAGUACGUACGCAAGUAUGAAACUUAAAGGAAUUGGCGGGGGAGCACA